RNAcentral lists this ribosomal RNA (253 nucleotides) under uncultured bacterium. Its description in RNAcentral is "partial 16S ribosomal RNA". It matches the Rfam family "Bacterial small subunit ribosomal RNA", at positions 524 to 776 of the family's 1533-position model. The record is from RNAcentral.
UACGAACUGUGCGAACGUUAUUCGGAAUCACUGGGCUUACAGGGUGCGUAGGCGGCCCAACAAGUCAGGUGUGAAAGCCCUCGGCUCAACCGAGGAACUGCGCUUGAAACUGUUAGGCUCGAGUCAGCUAGAGGUACACGGAACUUCCAGUGGAGCGGUGAAAUGCGUAGAUAUCAUUUGGAACGCCAAUGGUGAAAACAGCUCGCUGGGGAUGUACUGACGCUGAGACACGAAAGCCAGGGGAGCAAACGGG